GAGUUCUGGGCCGCACGCGCGCUACACUGACCGAACCAGCGAGUUUAUUUCCUUGGCCGGAAGGCCUGGGUAAUCUUGUGAAAUUCGGUCGUGAUGGGGAUAGAGCAUUGCAAUUAUUGCUCUUCAACGAGGAAUACCUAGUAAGCGUGAGUCAUCAGCUCGCGUUGAAUUCGUCCCUGCCCUUUGUACACACCGCCCGUCGCUACUACCGAUUGAAUGGCUUAGUGAGGCCUUCGGAUUGGCUUCUGGGAGCCGGCAACGGCACCUAGUCGCUGAGAAGUUUGACGAACUUGGUCAUUUAGAGGAAGUAAAAGUCGUAACAAGGUUUCCGUAGGUGAACCUGCGGAAGGAUCAUUAAUGAAUUUUAGGACGUUCUUUUUAGAAGUCCGACCAUUUCAUUUUCUUACACUGUGCACACACUUCUUUUUACACACACUUUUAACACAUUAGUAUAAGAAUGUAAUAGUCUCUUAAUUGAGCAUAAACAAAAAUAAAACUUUCAGCAACGGAUCUCUUGGCUCUCGCAUCGAUGAAGAACGCAGCGAAUUGCGAUAAGUAAUGUGAAUUGCAGAAUUCAGUGAAUCAUCGAAUCUUUGAACGCACCUUGCACUCUUUGGUAUUCCGAAAAGUAUGUCUGUUUGAGUAUCAUGAAACUCUCAACCCCCCUAUUUUGUAAUGAAAUGGGCGUGGGCUUGGAUUAUGGUUGUCUGUCGGCGUAAUUGCCGGCUCAACUGAAAUACACGAGCCAACCCUUUUGAAAUAAACGGUUUGACUUGGCGUAAUAAUUAUUUCCCUAAGGACGUCUUCUUCAAAUAUAAAAGGGGCUUUCUAAGGCCCUUUAAGCCCUUUAAGCUUUUAAAUCUCAAAUCA
RNAcentral lists this ribosomal RNA (870 nucleotides) under Erythrobasidium clade sp. LM209. RNAcentral's name for it is "eukaryotic LSU rRNA". The stretch from base 1 to 357 matches the Rfam family "Eukaryotic small subunit ribosomal RNA", at positions 1476 to 1831 of the family's 1831-position model. The record is from RNAcentral. Lineage: Eukaryota; Fungi; Basidiomycota; Cystobasidiomycetes; Erythrobasidiales; Erythrobasidiaceae.